AGCAGCCGCGGUAAUUCCAGCUCCAAUAGCGUAUAUUAAAGUUGUUGCAGUUAAAAAGCUCGUAGUUGAAUUUCGAGAUCAAUUUGUUGGUCGUGCCUCGGUACGUACUGGCAAUUUUGAUUUCUCCCUUCUGAAGAACCAUGAUGUCAUUAAUUUGGUGUCAUGGGGAAUCAGGACCGUUACUUUGAAAAAUUAGAGUGUUUAAAGCAGGCUCGCGCUUGAAUACAUUAGCAUGGAAUAAUGAAAUAGGACGUUUGAUUCUAUUUUGUUGGUUUCUAGGAUCGACGUAAUGAUUAAUAGGGAUAGUUGGGGGCAUUAGUAUUCAAUUGUCAGAGGUGAAAUUCUUGGAUUUAUUGAAGACUAACUACUGCGAAAGCAUUUGCCAAGGAUGUUUUCAUUAAUCAAGAACGAAAGUUAGGGGAUCGAAGACGAUCAGAUACCGUCGUAGUCUUAACCAUAAACUAUGCCGACUAGGGAUCGGAUGAUGUUAAUUUUUAAUGACUCAUUCGGCGCCUUACGG
This 520-nucleotide ribosomal RNA is filed under the name uncultured Glomus. RNAcentral's name for it is "SSU rRNA". It matches the Rfam family "Eukaryotic small subunit ribosomal RNA", at positions 569 to 1093 of the family's 1831-position model. The record is from RNAcentral. Lineage: Eukaryota; Fungi; Glomeromycota; Glomeromycetes; Glomerales; Glomeraceae.